GUAGGUGAACCUGCGGAAGGAUCAUUAUUGAAAUAAAUCUGAUGGGUUGUUGCUGGUUCUCCAGGGAGCAUGUGCACGCCUUGUCAUCUUUAUAUCUCCACCUGUGCACCUUUUGUAGACCCCGGGAUAUUUUCCAUGGUCUAUGUUGCUUCAUUUACCCCAAUGUAUGUUAAUAGAAUGUUUGUGCCAAAUAAUAUAUAUACGACUUUCAGCAACGGAUCUCUUGGCUCUC
Molecule: unclassified non-coding RNA, 232 nt
Filed under: rhizosphere metagenome
Description: partial ribosomal RNA internal transcribed spacer region
Source: RNAcentral